This 78-nucleotide non-coding RNA is filed under the name unclassified sequences. The record is from RNAcentral.
UGCCGUCCGGUAUGGUUUGGAAUUGGAAACAAUCCAAAACGUUGUUUUUGACGUUGGAAGCCUAACCCGGACGGCGUU